This 497-nucleotide ribosomal RNA is filed under the name uncultured bacterium. RNAcentral's name for it is "partial 16S ribosomal RNA". It matches the Rfam family "Bacterial small subunit ribosomal RNA", at positions 28 to 507 of the family's 1533-position model. The record is from RNAcentral.
GAUGAACGCUGGCGGCGUGCCUAAUACAUGCAAGUCGAGCGAACGGACGAGAAGCUUGCUUCUCUGAUGUUAGCGGCGGACGGGUGAGUAACACGUGGAUAACCUACCUAUAAGACUGGGAUAACUUCGGGAAACCGGAGCUAACACCGGAUGAUAUUUUGAACCGCAUGGUUCAAAAGUGAAAGACGGUCUUGCUGUCACUAAUAGAUGGAUCCGCGCUGCAUUAGCUAGUUGGUAAGGUAACGGCUUACCAAGGCAACGAUGCAUAGCCGACCUGAGAGGAUGAUCAGCCACACUGGAACUGAGACACGGUCCAGACUCCUACGGGAGGCAGCAGUAGGGAAUCUUCCGCAAUGGGCGAAAGCCUGACGGAGCAACGCCGCGUGAGUGAUGAAGGUCUUCGGAUCGUAAAACUCUGUUAUUAGGGAAGAACAUAUGUGUAAGUAUCUGUGCACAUCUUGACGGUACCUAAUCAGAAAGCCACGGCUAACUACGUG